This 253-nucleotide ribosomal RNA is filed under the name uncultured bacterium. Its description in RNAcentral is "partial 16S ribosomal RNA". It matches the Rfam family "Bacterial small subunit ribosomal RNA", at positions 524 to 776 of the family's 1533-position model. The record is from RNAcentral.
GACAGAGGAGGCGAGCGUUGUCCGGAGUCACUGGGCGUAAAGCGUUCGUAGGUGGUUUGACAAGUCUGGGGUUAAAGCGUGUAGCUUAACUACAUAUAGGCGGUGGAAACUACAUGACUAGAGUGCGUUCGGGGCAGAGGGAAUUCCUGGUGUAGCGGUGAAAUGCGUAGAUAUCAGGAAGAACACCGGUGGCGAAGGCGCUCUGCUAGGCCGUAACUGACACUGAGGGACGAAAGCUAGGGGAGCGAAUGGG